AAACAUCUAGCUCAUUUGGUAGAGCAUCUGUCGCAUAAACAGUUGGUAGCCGGUUCAAUUCCGGCGAUGUAUAC
Molecule: transfer RNA, 74 nt
Filed under: Mycobacteroides abscessus subsp. abscessus
Lineage: Bacteria; Bacillati; Actinomycetota; Actinomycetes; Mycobacteriales; Mycobacteriaceae
Description: tRNA-Met(cat)
Rfam family: tRNA
About the family: Transfer RNA (tRNA) molecules are approximately 80 nucleotides in length.
Source: RNAcentral